UACGUAGGGCGCAAGCGUUGUCCGGAAUUAUUGGGCGUAAAGAGCUCGUAGGCGGUUUGUCGCGUCUGUCGUGAAAGCUUGGGGCUUAACCCCAAGUCUGCGGUGGAUACGGGCAGACUAGAGGCAGGUAGGGGAGAACGGAAUUCCUGGUGUAGCGGUGAAAUGCGCAGAUAUCAGGAGGAACACCGGUGGCGAAGGCGGGUCUCUGGGCCGUAACUGACGCUGAGGAGCGAAAGCAUGGGGAGCGAACAGG
This 253-nucleotide ribosomal RNA is filed under the name uncultured bacterium. RNAcentral describes it as "partial 16S ribosomal RNA". It matches the Rfam family "Bacterial small subunit ribosomal RNA", at positions 524 to 776 of the family's 1533-position model. The record is from RNAcentral.